AUUGAACGCUGGCGGCAUGCCUAACACAUGCAAGUCGAGCGGAUGAAUGGAGCUUGCUCCUGGAUUCAGCGGCGGACGGGUGAGUAAUUCCUAGGAAUCUGCCUGGUAGUGGGGGCUAACGUCCGGAAACGGGCGCUAAUACCGCAUACGUCCUGAGGGAGAAAGUGGGGGAUCUUCGGACCUCACGCUAUCAGAUGAGCCUAGGUCGGAUUAGCUAGUUGGUGGGGUAAAGGCCUACCAAGGCGACGAUCCGUAACUGGUCUGAGAGGAUGAUCAGUCACACUGGAACUGAGACACGGUCCAGACUCCUACGGGAGGCAGCAGUGGGGAAUAUUGGACAAUGGGCGAAAGCCUGAUCCAGCAAUGCCGCGUGUGUGAAGAAGGUCUUCGGAUUGUAAAGCACUUUAAGUUGGGAGGAAGGGCAGUAAGUUAAUACCUUGCUGUUUUGACGUUACCAACAGAAUAAGCACCGGCUAACUUCGUG
This 484-nucleotide ribosomal RNA is filed under the name uncultured bacterium. Its description in RNAcentral is "partial 16S ribosomal RNA". It matches the Rfam family "Bacterial small subunit ribosomal RNA", at positions 30 to 507 of the family's 1533-position model. The record is from RNAcentral.